AACGCUAGCUACAGGCUUAACACAUGCAAGUCGAGGGGAAACGACAUCGAAAGCUUGCUUUUGAUGGGCGUCGACCGGCGCACGGGUGAGUAACGCGUAUCCAACCUGCCCAUCACUUGGGGAUAACCUUGCGAAAGUAAGACUAAUACCCAAUGACGUCUCUAGAAGGCAUCUGAAGGAGAUUAAAGAUUUAUCGGUAAUGGAUGGGGAUGCGUCUGAUUAGCUUGUUGGCGGGGUAACGGCCCACCAAGGCAACGAUCAGUAGGGGUUCUGAGAGGAAGGUCCCCCACAUUGGAACUGAGACACGGUCCAAACUCCUACGGGAGGCAGCAGUGAGGAAUAUUGGUCAAUGGGCGAGAGCCUGAACCAGCCAAGUAGCGUGCAGGAUGACGGCCCUAUGGGUUGUAAACUGCUUUUAUAAGGGAAUAAAGUGAGUCUCGUGAGACUUUUUGCAUGUACCUUAUGAAUAAGGACCGGCUAAUUCCGUGCCAGCAGCCGCGGUAAUACGGAAGGUCCGGGCGUUAUCCGGAUUUAUUGGGUUUAAAGGGAGCGUAGGCCGGAGAUUAAGCGUGUUGUGAAAUGUAGACGCUCAACGUCUGCACUGCAGCGCGAACUGGUUUCCUUGAGUACGCACAAAGUGGGCGGAAUUCGUGGUGUAGCGGUGAAAUGCUUAGAUAUCACGAAGAACUCCGAUUG
Molecule: ribosomal RNA, 696 nt
Filed under: uncultured bacterium
Lineage: Bacteria
Description: bacterial SSU rRNA
Rfam family: Bacterial small subunit ribosomal RNA
Source: RNAcentral